This 761-nucleotide ribosomal RNA is filed under the name Pleosporales sp. DZJ01. RNAcentral's name for it is "eukaryotic LSU rRNA". The stretch from base 1 to 262 matches the Rfam family "Eukaryotic small subunit ribosomal RNA", at positions 1572 to 1831 of the family's 1831-position model. The record is from RNAcentral. Lineage: Eukaryota; Fungi; Ascomycota; Dothideomycetes; Pleosporales.
GGGGAUAAAGCAUUGCAAUUAUUGCUUUUCAACGAGGAAUGCCUAGUAAGCGCGUGUCAUCAGCAUGCGUUGAUUACGUCCCUGACCUUUGUACACACCGCCCGUCGCUACUACCGAUUGAAUGGCUCAGUGAGGCCUUCGGACUGGCUCGAGGAGGUUGGCAACGACCACCUCAAGCCGGAAAGUUCGUCUAACUCGGUCAUUUAGAGGAAGUAAAAGUCGUAACAAGGUCUCCGUAGGUGAACCUGCGGAGGGAUCAUUACACAACUAUGAAGGCGGGCUGGAACCUCUCGGGGUUACAGCCUUGCUGAAUUAUUCACCCUUGUCUUUUGCGUACUUCUUGUUUCCUUGGUGGGUUCGCCCACCACUAGGACAAACAUAAACCUUUUGUAAUUGCAAUCAGCGUCAGUAACAAAUUAAUAAUUACAACUUUCAACAACGGAUCUCUUGGUUCUGGCAUCGAUGAAGAACGCAGCGAAAUGCGAUAAGUAGUGUGAAUUGCAGAAUUCAGUGAAUCAUCGAAUCUUUGAACGCACAUUGCGCCCUUUGGUAUUCCAAAGGGCAUGCCUGUUCGAGCGUCAUUUGUACCCUCAAGCUUUGCUUGGUGUUGGGCGUCUUGUCUCUAGCUUUGCUGGAGACUCGCCUUAAAGUAAUUGGCAGCCGGCCUACUGGUUUCGGAGCGCAGCACAAGUCGCACUCUCUAUCAGCAAAGGUCUAGCAUCCAUUAAGCCUUUUUUCAACUUUUGACCUCGGAUCAGGUA